Molecule: ribosomal RNA, 253 nt
Filed under: uncultured bacterium
Lineage: Bacteria
Description: partial 16S ribosomal RNA
Rfam family: Bacterial small subunit ribosomal RNA
Source: RNAcentral
UACGUAGGGUGCAAGCGUUGUCCGGAAUUAUUGGGCGUAAAGAGCUCGUAGGCGGUUUGUCGCGUCUGCUGUGAAAACUGGAGGCUCAACCUCCAGCCUGCAGUGGGUACGGGCAGACUAGAGUGCGGUAGGGGAGAUUGGAAUUCCUGGUGUAGCGGUGGAAUGCGCAGAUAUCAGGAGGAACACCAAAUGCGAAGGCAGCAAACUGGCACAUUACUGACGCUGAGGCACGAAAGCGUGGGUAGCGAAUGGG